Molecule: non-coding RNA, 4943 nt
Organism: Vicugna pacos (alpaca)
Lineage: Eukaryota; Metazoa; Chordata; Mammalia; Artiodactyla; Camelidae
Source: RefSeq, a predicted model, not a curated record
UAUGCAUAUAUACAUAUACAUGUUCUUUUUCAUUAUAAAUUAGUGCAAGCCAUUGAAUCUAGUUCCCUGUGCCACACACAACAGGACCUUGUUUAUAUGUUCUGUACAUAGUAGUUUGCAUCUGCCAGUCCCAAACUCCCAAUUUAACCCCCCCUUCCCCUGUAGUAACCAUAAUUUUAUUUUCUGUGGGACCAUGAUUUUUAAUGUCUUCUAUAGUGAUCAGAACCCCAGUUCUGCUCCUCAGGGGAUAUCUUUGGAAAAACAAGUCUUUCCAAACACUGGAAACUUGAAGGAAGCAAGGCUGUUCAGGAACAUCUGGGCAUUGAUUCUGCUUUCUCCCAUUAGAUAAAGUUGUGGCCUUUUUGGUAGUCGGUUUGGCUCAAGAACCAGCAGGAACCCAGCUGUUUGUAAUUUCUUCCCAUUAAAGGGCAUAGCUAGUUAGAGCCUGUUCUUCCCAAAAUGGUGAUGUAAGCCCUAAGCAUAAAAGAGAAGUGGAACCAUAGCAAUCGAGCUUGCCAAAUAUCACAGGGCCCUACCUUGUCUUCUCACUGGUAGUGCAUGACUCUAGAGGCUAAUGGAAGCUAUGAUGUGAUAUGCUACAUCUAUCCUUGCUCUUGUUGGCAGCCUCACUGCUGAUAAGAUUUUGGAUCCUUGGCCAAGUGCCUCUGUAAUUUAAAAUAAUACACCGCUAUUUCUUGAUUCAUCAACUAAGGCAAUAACUAUUGAUGACCUGCCAUGAAAACUGAGGAUUUAGUUUAUUUAUGCUACUCUUGUGCUACUCUACUCUCCUUCAAAUUUUGUAUGCUCUUCAAAUCAAGAAGAACUAUACUCAGUGGGCUGUGUUUAAGGAACUAUACUCAAGAAGUUCAUCCAUACCUGGACCUCAAACCUCAGCCUGAUUGAUAUUACGAGUAUUGGAGUGAUGGAAUGAGUCUAUUUUGCAUGUAGGAGGGAUGUGAAUUGCUGUGGCCAGAAGGUGGAUUGUGUGAAAUAGGUGUCCGGAUCAUCUGCUGAGAAUGCGUGUGUACAGAACCCUGUGAGAAUUGGCUCCCUACAUCCUACACUUCUUUUGCACAUUCUUUGACUCUAUUUUGACUGAAGAGUUUCCUAUGAAAAUGAAGAGUUUAUGGAUUAUAUACUGAUGGGAAGGAUACCCACUGAGUUGUCACAAACGAGGGCUGCUUUAGCAUGGUAAUAAGAUGCUGUUCAAGGUUUUUAUCCAGUGUUUCUACUGAAAUGGGAAGUGAUCCUUGUAAUGCACAUUUACAAUUGGUAUCACUUGCCAUUCAUUGUGGGAUAACUUACAUGCCAGCUUGAGGGUGUAAAUAAUUAUGGAUUCUUCAUUGAGGAUUCAAGUGUACCUUAACAAAUAACUAUAAACAUUCUAAAUGAUUGAUAAAUAAGCUUUCAAGUGUUGAAGUUAUCACAUAUCUUUUCUGAGGACAUUUAUCUUGGUUUAUUUGGAUUAUGAUACUUUGUAUCUAUACAUUGCCUAUCUUUUCAAAUUAGUAGUUAUAUUUAGGGGGUGGGGAUUAAAAAGAGUUACAUUUACCUCACUUAAGGAAUCUUCAACAUUGAGUAAGAUUCUUCAAAACAUGCUGGUGAAGGUAAUUUUAGUUAAGUUUAGGUAACAAAAAUAACAACAUGCAAAACCUCUUUAAUAUGUAUAGUCUCAAAGUUAAAAAUUUUUUUAAAUUUCUAAUAUUUAUACCAACAUAUUUUUGAAUAAUAGUACUGUUUAUGUUAAAUGGAAAUUUGACAUAAUUGUAUUGGUGUGGAAAUUCAUGUAGAAGUUUAUUUUGAUUAUAAAAUAUUAAUAACAAUGUUUAACUAGAUUAUCUGCUUGAAAAAUAUGAAAUAGUAUAUGAAUCAUCUUUUUAGAUAGGGAGUAUGGAGGAGAGAAAAGAGGAUACUUUGGGGAAGAAGAUUAUUGCAAAUUGUAAAGGAUUCAAUUAUUCAUAUACAUUUCAGUACAUUUAAUUGUCAUUAAAAUAACUAUAGUGGAAAAAAUAACUAUAGUGAAACUUAUAUCAGAGAAUUGCUUCCAAGUAUACCAUUUUUUUUUAUGUUGGAAGACAUGACAAAAACCAUUUAGUACUCUAAAAAUUUGACUUACCUGAAGUAAAAUCUCAGUUAACUGCCAUGAUAGGGUAUUCUUUUGGUUAAUAGAAUUUUUCACUUGUCUAUGAAAGCUUAUAACUUAAACAUCAUGACUCUUUUUGCUUUGAUGAUCUGAAGCUGAAGAAAUAGAAAACCAAUGUCAUGGAGUAUGUAUGGAAUUUACACAAACUUUAACUUCUUUUGGGGUGUGUGUGUAGGCACUCUAUUCUCAUAGUUUACAUUAAAAAAAAGUCCAGAGUAAAAAUCCUUUCUUGAGUCCUUUGCUCCAACCACCAGUUCCCUUACCUGGAGGCAACUUGGAGUCUUUGGUCCAAGUCACCAUCACCCUCUUUCCGGGUUACUGUGGAAGCAUCCCGGUAGACACCCUGCUUCCUCCUUCACCCAUCCUGUUAUCUAUUCUUCACACAUCAGCCAGAGUGAUGCUUUUAAACAUAAUCCCAUCAUGUCACUCUAGUAUCUUCUCCUCUUGUUCAGAGUAAAAGACACAAUCCUCCCUAAUGCAGGUAAAGCCCGACAGGAUCUGCUUCCUCUUGCCAUUACCUGUGUGGUACUGUCUUCUCCUUCCUCGUAGCACUUCACCCCGCUGACUUCCUUAUUCUUCCCUGGUCCUUUCUUUGCAUUUGUUUCUUUUACCUGAAAUGUGCUUGCCCCAGUAUCACCAGGCCUGUUCAGGUUUCUGAGCAAAUACCUCCUUAUCAAAAAGAUCUUCCUUGAUCAUCCUGACCACCCAGCAUUCCCUAAACCCCUUUCCUGAUUGUAUUUUUCUGUAAAACUUCCCUGUUUAAAAGUGUACCCAGAAUUUUAAAAUUCAGAAAUAGUGGGGCCUGUAGAUCAGAUUUUUGCCAUUAAAAAGAUAGUUUGUUAUAGUAUGCAGGAGGAGGCAUGUCAUGCCAUGGAGGGCACAGGGCUAGGUCAGGAUGCAGAAGGAGUGACAGGAGAGCUUGGGCCAGAGCCUUCAUUGUGUUUUUUGGGGGAAGGAAUGGGAAAAAUAGGGUAAGUAGCUGAGCAAAUUUAGGAUUGGAUAGUUUGAUUAAUUUCUGCAGGCUCUGAGAUGCAGGGGUGGUCCCUAAUUGUGUGGUACCUGGCCCUGGGGUGAUUUAGGCCCUGUGAGAUAGUGUACCGGACUGCGGGAGCCUCAUAAAAGGAGAUGUCAAAAUAUCAUAAAAUACAGAUCAUAAAAAGUGGUUAAUAUACUGACAUACCAUGUGUUCAUUUAUCUUUAAUUACCUCUACAGAACACAAGCUCCAUGAAGCAACUCUUUGUCUACUUUAUUCUCUGCAGCAGCCCCAGAAGUUAGAAUGGUACCUGCACAUGGUGAUUAUUUGUUGAAUCAGGGACAGGACCAGUGAACCAUAAGCCUACUCUUCUUUUUAUGCUCCCAUUCUUGUUGUCAUCUAAGUUUAAGGUCUCUGGCCCUUGUUCCCUGCAUUUCCAUUCCCAUUAUCACAGUUGCCCAGUCUGUCUAGUCUACUGCUGAAAUAUCUCUGGUCUCUGUUCUUUCAUUCAGAUUCCCAACUGAUACUUCAGGCCCUCAUGAACUCUUGCCUGGACUAUGAAUGUAAACACAUACUCUGUACUUUGUAUCUUUUACUUAUCCUGUUUUAAAGUUUAUACAGUAAUGUUAUGUUUCUUCUUAUUUUUGACCCUUACAACAAUCUUAUAAAGUCAUUAUUUCAGUGAUCUCCAUUAACAGAAAUAAAGGCUGAGCUCUAGAAGGCAAGUAGUUUGCCCAAGAUUAGUGUAUUAGUGGCAGAGUUAGAACCUCUCCCUAGCGCCUUGUCCUGUUAUGCCUUGCAUGAUUAAUUUCUCUUAUCUCAUCACUCUUUUGAUUUAGAACUUCUUGUGGAUUUUCAUGGCUUAUAGACAAAGUCCAACCUCCUUAGCCUCGCUCGCAUUUAAGGCUUUUACUAUUUCUUUCUCUUUUGUUUCUUUUCAUAUUUUUUUCAUUAAAGGUUAUUAAUAGAUUUUUUAAAAGGUUCUACUGUUUGUUUCUAAUCAAUCUUCUUUUUUCCUAGAAGGUUAUGUUUCAUAUUUUAAGCCCCAGCCAAAAUCAUCUCUGUACAGUAAUUUGGACACAUGACAGUUUAUCACCUCUGUACUGGUUUAUGUACAAGUUUAUGUUCUUUACGCUUUUCUUGCCAGGACUGUUCAUCCUGGCACAUUUGAUCAUUCAAGGCCCACUUUCUCCGUGAACCAUUUUCAUCGCUUUUACCCUUUUCCCAUCCUAGCUGUACAGAAAUUUCUCCUUUUACUGAACUCUAACCUUUUACUUCUAACUCUCUUAUAACACUUAGGGAAACAACCUUGUAAUACAGUUAUCUAUGUUCAUUUUAUCUUUGUGCAGGUCUGUAUCUUAUUGCUUGUAUGUCUAAUACUUAGCACUGAAAAGUUUCUGUUUGCUGUGGCUCACUCUUCCACCUCUCAGCAUCAGCAACUAGCACACUCCCUUAUCUAUUAGUACCUGAUAAGUAUGGAUUGAAUAAAAUAGUAAUCUUUUGGGUGAAUUGGGACAUUCAUUGAGAAUACAAUUGCUGAAAUUAGCUUAAGCAUUCACUGAGGAUAAGUGGAUUAAUGAAUUAUCAUAGGCACUUAGGUUUUAUUUGACUCUCUGAAAUCUCAGUAUAUCCCUAUAUAUUUGCAUUUUAAACAAUCCUUAAUGAAUGAAUUGCUUUUCACACUCUUGAGUUUUUGACUUAGAAUGCUUGCAUUUUGUCUUUAACACCACUUGAAGUUCUAAGUACUAGCAAGUAUUAAAGCCCAGCUCGUAGCAGACAAAAGAUAACUUGAGAGUAGAAACAUCACAAAAAACUUGUAUUUUUAA